CCUACGGGAGGCAGCAGUAGGGAAUAUUGCGCAAUGGGCGAAAGCCUGACGCAGCGACGCCGCGUGAGGGAUGAAGGUCUUCGGAUCGUAAACCUCUGUCAGCAGGGAAGAACGGGCACUGUGCUAAUCAGCAGUGACUUGACGGUACCUGCAAAGGAAGCACCGGCUAACUCCGUGCCAGCAGCCGCGGUAAUACGGAGGGUGCGAGCGUUAAUCGGAAUUACUGGGCGUAAAGCGCGCGUAGGCGGUAUGUCAAGUCAAGGGUGAAAUCCCCGCGCUCAACGUGGGAACUGCCUUUGAAACUGGCAGUCUGGAGUGUGUGAGAGGAUAGUGGAAUUCCAGGUGUAGGAGUGAAAUCCGUAGAUAUCUGGAGGAACAUCAGUGGCGAAGGCGACUAUCUGGCACAUAACUGACGCUGAGGAGCGAAAGCGUGGGUAGCAAACAGGAUUAGAUACCCUAGUAGUC
This 465-nucleotide ribosomal RNA is filed under the name uncultured bacterium. RNAcentral's name for it is "partial 16S ribosomal RNA". It matches the Rfam family "Bacterial small subunit ribosomal RNA", at positions 338 to 795 of the family's 1533-position model. The record is from RNAcentral.